AAGUCGUAACAAGGUUUCCGCAGGUGAACCUGCGGAAGGAUCAUUACCAAAUCCAAAACUUUAUCAACACCAAACAAGUGAACUGAGAAUGGUUUCGUUCCCCUCUGCAUGUGCAUACAAUGUGUUUCCACAUUCGUGCGUGUGCGAAGGGGGAUGUUUUUUUUUCAACCCCUUUUCAACCUCUUACAAUCUUUUAUGCUGAAAGCAAAAAAAACGAAACAUGAGACAACUUUUAACGGUGGAUCUCUUGGCUCGU
Molecule: unclassified non-coding RNA, 256 nt
Filed under: fungal sp.
Lineage: Eukaryota; Fungi
Description: partial internal transcribed spacer region
Rfam family: Eukaryotic small subunit ribosomal RNA (bases 1-46)
Source: RNAcentral